RNAcentral lists this unclassified non-coding RNA (2019 nucleotides) under Daphnia pulex (common water flea). RNAcentral's name for it is "nADPH:adrenodoxin oxidoreductase, mitochondrial-like, transcript variant X3". Lineage: Eukaryota; Metazoa; Arthropoda; Branchiopoda; Diplostraca; Daphniidae. The record is from RNAcentral.
CACCCGACAGAUGCAUACUUACUUUCCUACUGUUUAUUAACAUCCAAACUCUUCCCUCCUGAAAGUCUUCUGCUUUGAUUUUGGUGUUCAAAGUUUGUUUUUGUUAUUUUUGAACAUAUUUCGUACCCGUACACGUAAAAUGUGGAGUAGGACGACAAAAAAUAUCAAGAACGUUGUAAGUUAUUUCAGAACUGUAAAUUUCUCAUCUCAAGUAGUCUGUCAUCAAAAAGUAUGCAUUGUUGGAAGUGGACCUGCAGGAUUUUACACUGCUCAACAUCUUCUUAAGAAUUGCCCAACCCUUGAAAUAGAUAUGUUUGAAAAGCUACCUGUGCCUUUUGGAUUGGUCAGAUAUGGGGUAGCCCCAGAUCAUCCUGAUGUGAAAAACGUGAUAAAUACAUUCACAGCUAUUGCCAAGUCUGGUAGGCUACAGUUUGUUGGAAAUGUUACAGUUGGAAAAGAUGUUACCCUAAAUGAUUUGAGAAAUGCUUAUGAUGUAGUGGUUUUGGCUUAUGGUGCUGCACAAGACAGGUGGUUAGGCAUUUCUGGAGAAAAUUUAUGUAAUGUUGUGUCUGCAAGAAAAUUUGUGGGGUGGUAUAAUGGGUUACCUGAAGAAAGCCAUCUUAAGUUUGAUUUGGAUGCUGAAACAGCUGUUAUAAUAGGACAAGGAAAUGUUGCAUUGGAUAUUGCCAGAAUACUUCUCACUCCAAUAGAUAUGUUAAAGAAAACUGAUAUUGCUCAACAUGCUUUAGAAGCUCUUAGCCAAAGUAAAAUCAAAAAUGUUAAAAUUGUCGGAAGACGAGGACCUUUGCAGGUCGCUUUUACCAUCAAGGAAUUGAGAGAAAUGAUUAAACUUCCAGGAAAUUCCUAUCGGAUUCAUCUUGAAAAUCCGGAAUUUAUCGAUGCAUGUCUUCCUAAAACCUCUAGGCCUAGAAAAAGACUCACAGAAUUGAUGCUGCAAUCUUCCAGUAUAAAGCGAUCAGAAGAGGACUCGUCAAAGCAAUGGGAGUUAAUUUUUCAUCGAACUCCGAUAAAAAUAGUCGGAGACUCAAACGCGAAUAAAGUUAACGGAUUAGUGGUAGGCAUCAAUCACUUGACGGGAGAUGACUGGGAGAAUCCUCAAGUAGAAGAUACAGGUCUUAGAGAAACUAUACCUUGUGGAAUGAUUUUAAAAAGCAUCGGAUAUAAGAGCCUUCCCUUGUCCGAUGAACUACCUUUUGACCAUGCCAAAGGGAUUAUUCGCCAAACAGAAGGAAGAGUAGAAGGAAUGCAAGGGGUAUUCUGCAGUGGAUGGGUGGCAAGCGGACCUGUUGGAGUGAUAGCAUCAACUAUGCAAAGUGGUCAUGAUGUCGGAAAGAGAAUUAUUGAAGAUUUAAAAAAUGGAAUUGUUGGAACUGGGACAAGGAAACCAGGCCGUGAUGCUAUUUUAUCCCAACUUGAAGCAAGAAAUGUUGAACCUGUAACAUUUGUAGAAUGGGAAGCCUUGGAUAACGAAGAGCGUGAACGUGGUAAAUAUCAGAAAAAACCACGCGAAAAGAUAGUUGACGUUAGAGAAAUGAUAGAUAUUGCCAAAAAGGGACAAUCAUAAGUACUGCCUUUAUUUAAUGAAGCGUAAUUUGGACAAAUGGCUUGACUAUAAUUCAUUCUUGACUUUUGUUUCACCCUUUUCAUCGAGGCAUUUUUGUUGGCUUUUGGGCAAAACAUGCUGUCGACACAAAUAGUUCUGUAAAUCCAUAUUAUCUUGUUGGUGGUUGUACCACUCUUCUAUUCUUUCUUCAUAAUCUUCUAUUAAAGAUUCACACUACAGGAAAAAAAUUGUAAAGCUUCAAUGCUGUAGCCUGUUUCGAUGUUUUCGUGGCUUUUACCAGUUUCCUUGAGUCUGUCUUCAAGUUCACCGGCAACUAUUUUACAAACUUCACAUGGAGUGGCAUACUUAACGUCUUCACCAAUGGCAAAACUAAUAAGAAUAUAAAAACUGACCAACCAAGAAUAUCUCAAAAAGAAAUACAUGAGUAAAACAAA